Long non-coding RNA from Oncorhynchus tshawytscha (Chinook salmon), 797 nucleotides. The record is from Ensembl. NCBI's taxonomy places the organism in Eukaryota, Metazoa, Chordata, Actinopteri, Salmoniformes, Salmonidae.
GUUUUAAUGUGUGGAUGGGAGUGUUUUAAUGUGUGGAUGGGAGUGUUUUAAUGUGUGGAUGGGGGUGUUUUAAUGUGUGGAUGGGAGUGUUUUAAUGUGUGGAUGGGAGGAUGGGAGUGCUUUAAUGUGUGGAUGGGAGUGUUUUAAUGUGUGGAUGGGAGGAUGGGAGUGUUUUAAUGUGUGGAUGGGAGUGUUUUAAUGUGUGGAUGGGAGUGUUUUAAUGUGUGGAUGGGAGUGUUUUAAUGUGUGGAUGGGAGGAUGGGAGGAUGGGAGUGUUUUAAUGUGUGGAUGGGAGGAUGGGAGGAUGGGAGUGUUUUUAUGUGUGGAUGGGAGGAUGGGAGUGUUUUAAUGUGUGGAUGGGAGUGUUUUAAUGUGUGGUUGGGAGUGUUUUAAUGUGUGGAUGGGAGUGUUUUAAUGUGUGGAUGGGAGUGUUUUAAUGUGUGGAUGGGAGGUUGGCAGGUUGAGAGUGUUUUAAUGUGUGGAUCGGAGGUUGGCAGGUUGGGAGUGUUUUAUAAUGUGUGGAUGGGAGUUUGGCGGGUUGGGAGUGUUUUAAUAUGUGGAUGGCAGGUUGGGAGUGUUUUAAUGUGUGGAUGGGAGGUUGGGAGUGUUUUAAUGUGUGGAUGGCAGGUUGGGAGUGUUUUAAUGUGUGGAUGGGAGGUUGGCAGGUUGGUAGUGUUUUAAUGUGUGGAUGGGAGUGUUUUAAUGUGUGGAUGGGAGUGUUUUAAUGUGUGGAUGGGAGGAUGGGAGUGUUUUAAUGUGUGGAUGGGAGGAUGGGAGUGUUUUAAUGUGUGGAUGGG